UGGGGAAUAUUGCGCAAUGGGGGAAACCCUGACGCAGCGACGCCGCGUGUGGGAAGAAGGCCUUCGGGUCGUAAACCACUGUCAAGAGGGAAGAAACGCAUGGGUUCAAAUAGGGCCUGUGCCUGACGGUACCUCUGGAGGAAGCACCGGCUAACUCCGUGCCAGCAGCCGCGGUAAUACGGAGGGUGCAAGCGUUAAUCGGAAUCACUGGGCGUAAAGCGCACGUAGGCUGUUUUGCAAGUCAGACGUGAAAUCCCUUGGCUCAACCGAGGAAUUGCGUUUGAAACUGCAGGACUCGAGUACUGGAGAGGGUGGCGGAAUUCCCGGUGUAGGAGUGAAAUCCGUAGAUAUCGGGAGGAACACCAGUGGCGAAGGCGGCCACCUGGACAGAUACUGACGCUGAGGUGCGAAAGCGUGGGGAGCAAACA
This 428-nucleotide ribosomal RNA is filed under the name uncultured prokaryote. RNAcentral describes it as "bacterial SSU rRNA". It matches the Rfam family "Bacterial small subunit ribosomal RNA", at positions 355 to 774 of the family's 1533-position model. The record is from RNAcentral.